Mus musculus (house mouse) is the source of this 204-nucleotide non-coding RNA. Lineage: Eukaryota; Metazoa; Chordata; Mammalia; Rodentia; Muridae. The record is from Rfam.
UUAUACAAACCAUCACAGAGCUCAUCUCAAUAGUUCAUUACUAGAGAAGUUUUUCUGUGCAGGGCACCCAAGGCUGUGAGGUGGAGUUCCCUCUUGUGUGUGAAGCUGGCUGUAGGUGCUGCUUCCUGCCGCUGCCCUGUGCCAUUAACAAUCCAUCUUCUCUUCUUGGAGAGAGUGAGAGGAGGGGAAGGCAGUCUGAGUGGA